CAGUCGCCGCGGUAAUACGGAGGGCGCGAGCGUUACCCGGAUUUACUGGGCGUAAAGGGCGUGUAGGCGGCCUGGGGCGUCCCAUGUGAAAGGCCACGGCUCAACCGUGGAGGAGCGUGGGAUACGCUCAGGCUAGAGGGUGGGAGAGGGUGGUGGAAUUCCCGGAGUAGCGGUGAAAUGCGCAGAUACCGGGAGGAACGCCGAUGGCGAAGGCAGCCACCUGGUCCACUUCUGACGCUGAGGCGCGAAAGCGUGGGGAGCAAACCGGAUUAGAUACCCGGGUAGUCCCUGUCUCUUAUAC
RNAcentral lists this ribosomal RNA (301 nucleotides) under uncultured bacterium. Its description in RNAcentral is "partial 16S ribosomal RNA". It matches the Rfam family "Bacterial small subunit ribosomal RNA", at positions 509 to 807 of the family's 1533-position model. The record is from RNAcentral.